GUCUGUGGCCAUAACACCCUGAAUAUACCUGAUCUCGUCUGAUCUUGGAAGCUAGGCAGGGUCGGGCCUGGUUAGUACUUGGAUGGGAGAGGAGAAUGGUGAUUACCAGAGGAU
Prolemur simus (greater bamboo lemur) is the source of this 114-nucleotide ribosomal RNA. Lineage: Eukaryota; Metazoa; Chordata; Mammalia; Primates; Lemuridae. The record is from Ensembl.